UACGUAGGGACCGAGCGUUGUCCGGAUUCAUUGGGCGUAAAGAGCUCGUAGGCGGCUAUUCAAGUCGAACGUGAAAUCUCGGAGCUCAACUCCGAAACUGCGUUCGAUACUGGGUAGCUAGAGUCUGGUAGGGUGAUCUGGAAUUCCUGGUGUAGCGGUGGAAUGCGUAGAUAUCGGAAGGAACAUCAGUGGCGAAAGCGACUUCCUGGACCAAUACUGACGCUCAUGUGCGAAAGCGUGGGGAGCAAACAGG
RNAcentral lists this ribosomal RNA (253 nucleotides) under uncultured bacterium. RNAcentral describes it as "partial 16S ribosomal RNA". It matches the Rfam family "Bacterial small subunit ribosomal RNA", at positions 524 to 776 of the family's 1533-position model. The record is from RNAcentral.